CUCUCGAUGGUCUAGUUGGAUAUGACGUUCGGCUGUAAUUGGUUAAUUGUUACCGAAAGGUCACCGGCUCGAUUCCGGUUCGAGAGA
Molecule: transfer RNA, 87 nt
Filed under: Cladophialophora yegresii CBS 114405
Lineage: Eukaryota; Fungi; Ascomycota; Eurotiomycetes; Chaetothyriales; Herpotrichiellaceae
Rfam family: tRNA
About the family: Transfer RNA (tRNA) molecules are approximately 80 nucleotides in length.
Source: Rfam by way of RNAcentral